AUUUAUUAACCAACUAAGUGCAUUAUUGCCAAAAGUGACUGUUUAUUAAAAAUUACAUAUUUUCUGUAAUGGCCCUGUUUUUCUGUAAUGGCCCUGUUUUUCUGUAAUGUCCCUGUUUUUCUGUAAUGGCCCUGUUUUUCUGUAAUGGCCCUGUUUUUCUGUAAUGGCCCUGUAUUAAUGCCCAGUUUGUCUGUUUUUUAACACAUAUCUCUUUCAACUUAAUAUCUUGGAUAUUUGGUAUAUUUAAAGCUUUAUAAUGGUGAAGUACAAAUUAUUUUGUUCAAACUAAACUGUCAUUAAAAGAGUAAGACAGUACAUCAAGUUAGCAGCAACACAUACACUUUUGUUCAGUGGUUAAUAAAUG
RNAcentral lists this long non-coding RNA (364 nucleotides) under Mytilus galloprovincialis (Mediterranean mussel). Lineage: Eukaryota; Metazoa; Mollusca; Bivalvia; Mytilida; Mytilidae. The record is from RNAcentral.